GCUGCGCAGAGAGGGAGAGCUGCGCAGUGCCCCUUCAGUGAAGCGGGAGGAGGAACAGGAGGGGCUCCUUCUGUUCCUCCUCCCCACUUCGCUAAAGGGGUGCUGCGCAGUUCUCUCUCUCUGCGCAGC
Podarcis lilfordi (Lilford's wall lizard) is the source of this 129-nucleotide non-coding RNA. The record is from the annotation of a GenBank genome assembly. Lineage: Eukaryota; Metazoa; Chordata; Lepidosauria; Squamata; Lacertidae.